GGGCCUGCAAGGGUUUGGAAUUGCUCGAAAGAAUACAGCUUUGAACAACAUAGGGGGGAUGACCGUAUUCAGGGGCGGUCCUCCUAAAGUGGAGAAAGACUAGGGGAAUAUGGGGUCCGGAUCUUGCGGUGCAUACAGUUUCAGCGGAAGUAGCUGUCCGCUCCCUUGUCCAGUAACCAUUCUGAGUGGGGCUAGAACUUUGACGGGAAAAGCGCCGGGUCCGGGAAAGAAAGGAGUCACACAAAUAGGUGGUGACUUCCUCUACUCGCUUCAGUACAAGAAGGCGGACCUUUUUCCAGCAAGUCGGGUUGCUACCGGGACUACUGUGGAAGCUGGGUGGUUCUGAGGUACCAUCCCCUAGGCUUUCAGUGGCCUAUGGAAGUAGCAUGUCGGGGUGAAGAAGGUGGCUCCAUACCCGGGAAUGUGGGGUGUUUGGUUUGCGCAAAAGACGAAAGGAAAGACGGGGGCGAGCAAGCCCUCUUUUUCCGGAAGAAGGUCGACCCUUACUCUAUUUCCUCAAAGGAAGAAAUAGUCGGGUCGGAGAGAGACAGCCUACCCUCAUUUUGUGGGGAGCUACAGUGCUUUUUCGGACUGAAUUCCAGCAAGACACGGCUCCGGAUAUUUUUAUUCUGGUAUCGCUAGCAGGGGACAGUCUCGUAAAACAGUCUCUCUUAUACCUUUUGUGGUCUAAGGCAAAAAGAAAGCUAUUAACCGCAAGGAAGAUAGUUCCAAACACCCCCCGGGGAGGUGAACCAAAGCUGAGCUUUGGCCCUCGGGGAAGCGGCAGUUUGGGUCGGUGUUCAGCGGGACGGUAGAGGAGGCCUAGCUACUAUAGUCUUACAAGAAACAGAAGCCUCAAUAAAGCGCG
This 868-nucleotide long non-coding RNA is filed under the name Panax ginseng (ginseng). RNAcentral describes it as "long non-coding RNA (PGIN_LNC000971)". The record is from RNAcentral. Lineage: Eukaryota; Viridiplantae; Streptophyta; Magnoliopsida; Apiales; Araliaceae.